This 253-nucleotide ribosomal RNA is filed under the name uncultured bacterium. RNAcentral's name for it is "partial 16S ribosomal RNA". It matches the Rfam family "Bacterial small subunit ribosomal RNA", at positions 524 to 776 of the family's 1533-position model. The record is from RNAcentral.
UACGAACCGUGCGAACGUUGUUCGGAAUCACUGGGCAUAAAGGGCGCGUAGGCGGCUUUUCAAGUCAGGGGUGAAAUCCGGCAGCUUAACUGUCGAAGUGCCUUUGAUACUGGGAAGCUCGAGGGAGGUAGGGGUGUGUGGAACUUCCGGUGGAGCGGUGAAAUGCGUUGAUAUCGGAAGGAACGCCGGUGGCGAAAGCGACGCACUGGACCUAUUCUGACGCUGAGGCGCGAAAGCCAGGGGAGCAAACGGG